RNAcentral lists this ribosomal RNA (253 nucleotides) under uncultured bacterium. Its description in RNAcentral is "partial 16S ribosomal RNA". It matches the Rfam family "Bacterial small subunit ribosomal RNA", at positions 524 to 776 of the family's 1533-position model. The record is from RNAcentral.
UACGAGGGGGGCGAGCGUUGUUCGGAAUUAUUGGGCGUAAAGGGUGCGUAGGCGGUUCGGUAAGUUUCGUGUGAAAUCUUCGGGCUCAACUCGAAGUCUGCCCGAGAUACUGCCGGGCUUGAGUGUGGGAGAGGUGAGUGGAAUUUCCGGUGUAGCGGUGAAAUGCGUAGAUAUCGGAAAGAACACCUGUGGCGAAAGCGGCUCACUGGACCAAAACUGACGCUGAGGCACGAAAGCCAGGGGAGCAAACGGG